Molecule: ribosomal RNA, 497 nt
Filed under: uncultured bacterium
Lineage: Bacteria
Description: partial 16S ribosomal RNA
Rfam family: Bacterial small subunit ribosomal RNA
Source: RNAcentral
GAUGAACGCUGGCGGCGUGCCUAAUACAUGCAAGUCGAGCGAACAGAUGAGGAGCUUGCUCCUCUGACGUUAGCGGCGGACGGGUGAGUAACACGUGGAUAACCUACCUAUAAGACUGGGAUAACUUCGUGAAACCGGAGCUAAUACCGGAUAAUAUAUUGAACCGCAUGGUUCAAUAGUGAAAGACGGUUUUGCUGUCACUUAUAGAUGGAUCCGCGCCGCAUUAGCUAGUUGGUAAGGUAACGGCUUACCAAGGCAACGAUGCGUAGCCGACCUGAGAGGGUGAUCGGCCACACUGGAACUGAGACACGGUCCAGACUCCUACGGGAGGCAGCAGUAGGGAAUCUUCCGCAAUGGGCGAAAGCCUGACGGAGCAACGCCGCGUGAGUGAUGAAGGUCUUCGGAUCGUAAAACUCUGUUAUUAGGGAAGAACAAAUGUGUAAGUAACUAUGCACGUCUUGACGGUACCUAAUCAGAAAGCCACAGCUAACUACGUG